Molecule: transfer RNA, 77 nt
Filed under: Hadesarchaea archaeon DG-33-1
Lineage: Archaea; Methanobacteriati; Hadarchaeota (SeqCode); Hadarchaeia (SeqCode)
Description: tRNA-Ser
Rfam family: tRNA
About the family: Transfer RNA (tRNA) molecules are approximately 80 nucleotides in length. Their secondary structure includes four short double-helical elements and three loops (D, anti-codon, and T loops). Further hydrogen bonds mediate the characteristic L-shaped molecular structure. tRNAs have two regions of fundamental functional importance: the anti-codon, which is responsible for specific mRNA codon recognition, and the 3' end, to which the tRNAs corresponding amino acid is attached (by aminoacyl-tRNA synthetases). tRNAs cope with the degeneracy of the genetic code in two manners: having more than one tRNA (with a specific anti-codon) for a particular amino acid; and 'wobble' base-pairing, i.e. permitting non-standard base-pairing at the 3rd anti-codon position.
Source: RNAcentral
GGGCCGGUAGCUCAGCCUGGAAGUAGCGAUAGCGAGAAGGCGAUAGGUCCCGGGUUCAAAUCCCGGCCGGUCCACCA